GACGAACGCUGGCGGCGUGCUUAACACAUGCAAGUCGAACGGAAAGGCCCUGCUUUUGUGGGGUGCUCGAGUGGCUAACGGGUGAGUAACACGUGAGUAACCUGCCCUUUACUUUGGGAUAACUUCAGUAAACUUGGGCUAAUACCUGAUAUUAGCUCCUGCUGCAUGGUGGGGGUUGGAAAGUUUCGGCGGUUGGGGAUGGACUCGCGGCUUAUCAGCUUGUUGGUGGGGUAGUGGCUUACCAAGGCUUUGACGGGUAGCCGGCCUGAGAGGGUGACCGGCGACAUUGGGAAUGAGAUACGGCCCAGACUCCUACGGGAGGCAGCAGUGGGGAAUAUUGCACAAUGGGCGGAAGCCUGAUGCAGCAACGCCGCGUGCGGGAUGACGGCCUUCGGGUUGUAAACCGCUUUCGCCUGUGACGAAGCGUGAGUGACGGUAAUGGGUAAAGAAGCACCGGCUAACUACGUG
RNAcentral lists this ribosomal RNA (468 nucleotides) under uncultured bacterium. RNAcentral describes it as "partial 16S ribosomal RNA". It matches the Rfam family "Bacterial small subunit ribosomal RNA", at positions 28 to 507 of the family's 1533-position model. The record is from RNAcentral.